RNAcentral lists this ribosomal RNA (575 nucleotides) under Helicotylenchus pseudorobustus. RNAcentral describes it as "partial large subunit ribosomal RNA". The stretch from base 400 to 575 matches the Rfam family "Eukaryotic large subunit ribosomal RNA", at positions 665 to 813 of the family's 3401-position model. The record is from RNAcentral. Lineage: Eukaryota; Metazoa; Nematoda; Chromadorea; Rhabditida; Hoplolaimidae.
CCGAUGAGGUGGAAACGGACAGAGCUGGCGUAUCUGGCCUGCAUUCAGCCGCCGCGCGUCGGGCCCCGGUUUGCCGCACUCCAGAUUGGGAAGGUGGCUGGGCUGCUGGCGUGUCGGUGGUGCAUUUGCAGGUGGAGUGCGCCGAGGCGCUCGGCUCAGCGGCAUGAGCUCGGCUUUGAGGCCAGUCGCGCAAGCGGUCUGGUACCCGGGUCGGGGGAGUGUUGUUUGGGCUGAGUGUUCGCUUGGGCACUGGUUUCGAGCCCGGGUGGGUGCCGAGCUGGCGGUGGCCGGCGGUCGCGUGCGACACGUGUCUUCAGUCAGUUCGGUCCUGCUCGAGCUCUCGCGUGUCCGGCCUCGGUGUAAAAGCCGGUCAUCUGUCCGACCCGUCUUGAAACACGGACCAAGGAGUUUAGCGUGUGCGCGAGUCAUUGGGCGUUGAAAACCCAAAGGCGCAAUGAAAGUGAAGGUCUGCCUUGUGCAGCUGAUGUGUGAUCCUGGGCGCCGCGGUGCCCGGGCGCAACAUAGUCCCGUCCCGACUGCAUGCAGUGGGGCGGAGACAGAGCGUACGCGCUGAG